RNAcentral lists this RNase P RNA (319 nucleotides) under Comamonadaceae bacterium. RNAcentral's name for it is "RNase P RNA component class A". It matches the Rfam family "Bacterial RNase P class A". Rfam says of the family: Ribonuclease P (RNase P) is a ubiquitous endoribonuclease, found in archaea, bacteria and eukarya as well as chloroplasts and mitochondria. Its best characterised activity is the generation of mature 5'-ends of tRNAs by cleaving the 5'-leader elements of precursor-tRNAs. Lineage: Bacteria; Pseudomonadati; Pseudomonadota; Betaproteobacteria; Burkholderiales; Comamonadaceae. RNAcentral also lists the same sequence under 1 other name. The record is from RNAcentral.
GAAGCCCGCCAGACCGCCGCUGGCGCAAGCGCCGAAAGGCCGCGCUGGAGGAACGUCCGGACUGCACAGGGCAGCGCAGGAGCUAACGGCUCUCCACCGUGAGGUGAGGAUCAGAGCAACAGAGACGAGCCGAUUGAGUUCGGGUGAAACGGGCAAUCUCUGCGCGCAGCAACACCAAGUAGGUUGGCAUUGAGGCGGCCCGCUGAGCCAACGGGUAGGUGGCACCGAGCCGGGUGGGCGACCCCCGGCCCAGAUUGAUGGCGGUCACGGCGCGGCUUGCCGCGCCGCACAGAAUCCGGCUUAUCGGCGGACUUCACAC